This 428-nucleotide ribosomal RNA is filed under the name uncultured bacterium. Its description in RNAcentral is "bacterial SSU rRNA". It matches the Rfam family "Bacterial small subunit ribosomal RNA", at positions 56 to 527 of the family's 1533-position model. The record is from RNAcentral.
UGCAAGUCGACGGGCUCUUCGGAGCAAGUGGCGGACGGGUGAGUAACGCGUGAGAAUGUGCCUUGAGGAUGGGGAUAACAAUAGGAAACUAAUGCUAAGACCCAAUGUGCCUUAAGUGGUGAAAAAUGAAAAUUGCCUGAAGAGGAGCUCGCGUCUGAUUAGCUAGUUGGGGUGGUAAAAGCGCACCAAGGCGACGAUCAGUAGCUGGUCUGAGAGGAUGAGCAGCCACACUGGGACUGAGACACGGCCCAGACUCCUACGGGAGGCAGCAGUGGGGAAUUUUCCGCAAUGGGCGAAAGCCUGACGGAGCAAUACCGCGUGAGGGAGGAAGGCCCUUGGGUUGUAAACCUCAAAACUUAGGGAAGAAAAAAAUGACGGUACCUAAUUUAAGCAUCGGCUAACUCCGUGCCAGCAGCCGCGGUAAUACG